GACGAACGCUGGCGGCGUGCUUAACACAUGCAAGUCGAACGGGCCCGCCCCUGUUUUUGGGGGUGGGUUGAGUGGCGAACGGGUGAGUAUCACGUGAGUAACCUGCCCCCUGCUCCUAGAUAACUGCUUGAAAGGGCGGCUAAUACGGGGUGUGCCGGCUGGUCCGCAUGGGCCUGGUCGGGAUAGUUUCAUCUUCGGGUGUUUCGGUGGGGGAUGGGCUCGCGGCCUAUCAGCUUGUUGGUGGGGUGAUGGCCCACCAAGGCGGUGACGGGUAGCCGGCCUGAGAGGGUGGGCGGCCACAGUGGGACUGAGACACGGCCCAGACUCCUGCGGGAGGCAGCAGUGGGGGGUAUUGCACAAUGGGCGGAAGCCUGAUGCAGCGACGUCGCGUGAGGGAGGGAGGCCUUCGGGUUGUGAACCUCUUUCUCCGGUGGUGAAGGCCCUGUCCGUUGCGGCGGGGUUGACGGUAGCCGGGUAUGAAGCGCCGGCUAACUACGU
RNAcentral lists this ribosomal RNA (498 nucleotides) under uncultured bacterium. RNAcentral's name for it is "partial 16S ribosomal RNA". It matches the Rfam family "Bacterial small subunit ribosomal RNA", at positions 28 to 506 of the family's 1533-position model. The record is from RNAcentral.